AACGAACGCUGGCGGCAUGCCUAACACAUGCAAGUCGAACGAGACCUUCGGGUCUAGUGGCGCACGGGUGCGUAACGCGUGGGAACCUGCCCUUAGGUUCGGAAUAACUCCCCGAAAGGGGUGCUAAUACCGGAUAAUGUCUUCGGACCAAAGAUUUAUCGCCUUUGGAUGGGCCCGAGUUGGAUUAGCUAGUUGGUAGGGUAAAAGCCUACCAAGGCGACGAUCCAUAGCUGGUCUGAGAGGAUGAUCAGCCACACUGGGACUGAGACACGGCCCAGACUCCUACGGGAGGCAGCAGUGGGGAAUAUUGGACAGUGGGCGAGAGCCUGAUCCAGCAAUGCGGCGUGAGUGAUGAAUGCCUUAGGGUUGUAAAGGUCUUUUACACGGGAUGAUAAUGACAGUACCGGGAGAAUAAGCUCCGGCUAAGUCCGUG
This 433-nucleotide ribosomal RNA is filed under the name uncultured bacterium. Its description in RNAcentral is "partial 16S ribosomal RNA". It matches the Rfam family "Bacterial small subunit ribosomal RNA", at positions 29 to 507 of the family's 1533-position model. The record is from RNAcentral.